CCUAUCUGCCGUGGGCGCUGGAGAAUUGAGGGGGGCUGCUCCUAGUACGAGAGGACCGGAGUGGACGCAUCACUGGUGUUCGGGUUGUCAUGCCAAUGGCACUGCCCGGUAGCUAAAUGCGGAAGAGAUAAGUGCUGAAAGCAUCUAAGCACGAAACUUGCCCCGAGAUGAGUUCUCCCUGAGACUAUAAGUCUCCUGAAGGAACGUUAAAGACGAUGACGUUGAUAGGCCGGGUGUGUAAGCGCAGCGAUGCGUUGAGCUAACCGGUACUAAUGAACCGUGAGGCUUAACCUUACAACGCCGAAG
Molecule: ribosomal RNA, 306 nt
Filed under: Klebsiella pneumoniae
Lineage: Bacteria; Pseudomonadati; Pseudomonadota; Gammaproteobacteria; Enterobacterales; Enterobacteriaceae
Description: partial 23S ribosomal RNA
Rfam family: Bacterial large subunit ribosomal RNA
Source: RNAcentral